Aspergillus ellipticus CBS 707.79 is the source of this 122-nucleotide non-coding RNA. The record is from the annotation of a GenBank genome assembly. Lineage: Eukaryota; Fungi; Ascomycota; Eurotiomycetes; Eurotiales; Aspergillaceae.
GCCCGGAUGGUCUAGUGGUAUGAUUCCUGCUUCGGGGACUAUGUGGCACAAACAAACUCCUCUCGUACAAUAGUAUGAGAUUGAAAUGCAGGAGGUCUCGGGUUCGAAUCCCGAUUCGGGCC